ACUCCUACGGGAGGCAGCAGUCGAGAAUCAUUCGCAAUGGGCGAAAGCCUGACGAUGCGACGCCGUGUGAACGAUGAAGGCCUUCGGGUUGUAAAGUUCUUUCGCUUGGGAACAAGAGAGGUAGGAUAAUACCCUACCAAUUUGAGGGUACCAGGUAAAGAAGCACCGGCUAACUCCGUGCCAGCAGCUGCGGUAAUACGGAGGGUGCAAGCAUUAAUCGGAUUUAUUGGGCGUAAAGGGCGCGUAGGCGGAUCGAUCAGUCAGAUGUGAAAUUUCGAAGCUCAACUUCGAAGCUGCAUUUGAAACUGUCGACCUUGAGGAUAGGCGGAGAAAACGGAAUUCCACAUGUAGCGGUGAAAUGCGUAGAUAUGUGGAAGAACACCCGUGGCGAAAGCGGUUUUCUAGCUUAUUCCUGACGCUGAGGCGCGAGAGCAAGGGGAGCAAACAGGAUUAGAUACCCUGGUAGUCCUUGCCGUAAACGAUGUAUACUUGGUGUAGCUGGGCUCAACCCUAGCUGUGCCGGAGCUAACGCGUUAAGUAUACCGCCUGAGGAGUACGCUCGCAAGGGUAAAACUCAAAAGAAUUGACGGGGGCCCGCACAAGCAGUGGAGCAUGUGGUUUAAUUCGAUGCAACGCGAAGAACCUUACCCAGGUUUGACAUUUAGUGGACCGCACUAGAGAUAGUGCUUCUCGCAAGAGCCGCUUAUACAGGUGCUGCAUGGCUGUCGUCAGCUCGUGCCGUGAGGUGUUGGGUUAAGUCCCGCAACGAACGCAACCCUUGUCAUUAGUUACCAGCACGUUAUGGUGGGGACUCUAGUGAGACUGCCUAGGUUAACUAGGAGGAAGGUGAGGAUGACGUCAAGUCCGCAUGGCCUUUUAUGUCUGGGGGCUACACACG
This 898-nucleotide ribosomal RNA is filed under the name uncultured Verrucomicrobiales bacterium. RNAcentral's name for it is "bacterial SSU rRNA". It matches the Rfam family "Bacterial small subunit ribosomal RNA", at positions 335 to 1222 of the family's 1533-position model. The record is from RNAcentral. Lineage: Bacteria; Pseudomonadati; Verrucomicrobiota; Verrucomicrobiia; Verrucomicrobiales.